This is a transfer RNA of Ruaniaceae bacterium KH17, 74 nucleotides long. It matches the Rfam family "tRNA". From Rfam's summary of the family: Transfer RNA (tRNA) molecules are approximately 80 nucleotides in length. Their secondary structure includes four short double-helical elements and three loops (D, anti-codon, and T loops). Further hydrogen bonds mediate the characteristic L-shaped molecular structure. tRNAs have two regions of fundamental functional importance: the anti-codon, which is responsible for specific mRNA codon recognition, and the 3' end, to which the tRNAs corresponding amino acid is attached (by aminoacyl-tRNA synthetases). tRNAs cope with the degeneracy of the genetic code in two manners: having more than one tRNA (with a specific anti-codon) for a particular amino acid; and 'wobble' base-pairing, i.e. permitting non-standard base-pairing at the 3rd anti-codon position. The record is from Rfam. NCBI's taxonomy places the organism in Bacteria, Bacillati, Actinomycetota, Actinomycetes, Micrococcales, Ruaniaceae.
CGGGGCGUAGCGCAGCUUGGUAGCGCACCUGCUUUGGGAGCAGGGGGUCGCAGGUUCAAAUCCUGUCGCCCCGA